This is a long non-coding RNA of Bufo bufo (common toad), 151 nucleotides long. RefSeq lists it as uncharacterized. The transcript has 4 exons. Lineage: Eukaryota; Metazoa; Chordata; Amphibia; Anura; Bufonidae. The record is from RefSeq and is a predicted model, not a curated record.
UGUGUCUUUGCCUGUGUUAUGUUCCUCUUCUUCCUCUGCAGAAGAAAGUUCCCUCCAUACUCUGGAUGUGGCCAGAUGUUUGAGAAUCUACAUUGAGAGAUCCCGGGAGUUCAGAAGUGGACACUGGAGGGUCUGAUGGAAAUGGGAAGGC